AUUGAACGCUGGCGGCAGGCCUAACACCUGCAAGUCGAACGAGUGGCGGACGGGUGAGUAAUGUCUGGGAAACUGCCUGAUGGAGGGUGAUAACUACUGGAAACGGUAGCUAAUACCGCAUACCCUCGGAUGUGCACCGCUGGGAUUAGCUAGUAGGGGAGGUAACGUCUCACCUAGGCGACGAUCCCUAGCUGGUCGGACAGGAUGACCAGCCACACGGGAACUGAGACACGGACCAGACUCCUACGUGCGGCAGCAGUGGGGAAUAGUGCACAAUGGGCGCAAGCCUGAUGUAGCCAUGCCGCGUGUAUGAAGAAGGCCUUCGGGUUGUAAAGUACUUUCAGCGGGGAGGCGUUACCCACAGAAGAAGCACCGGCUAACUCCGUGCCAGCCGCCGCGGUAAUAC
RNAcentral lists this ribosomal RNA (406 nucleotides) under uncultured bacterium. RNAcentral describes it as "partial 16S ribosomal RNA". It matches the Rfam family "Bacterial small subunit ribosomal RNA", at positions 30 to 526 of the family's 1533-position model. The record is from RNAcentral.